RNAcentral lists this ribosomal RNA (201 nucleotides) under uncultured bacterium. RNAcentral's name for it is "partial 16S ribosomal RNA". It matches the Rfam family "Bacterial small subunit ribosomal RNA", at positions 328 to 539 of the family's 1533-position model. The record is from RNAcentral.
ACGCUCGACACCUACGGGGGGCAGCAGUGGGGAAUAUUGGGCAAUGGGCGAAAGCCUGACCCAGCAACGCCGCGUGAGGGAAGAAGGUUUUCGGAUUGUAAACCUCUGUCCUCAGGGACGAAGGACGUGACGGUACCUGAGGAGGAAGCCCCGGCUAACUACGUGCUAGCAGCCGCGGUAAUCUGAGCGGGCUGGCAAGGC